AUACUUACCUGACAGGGGAGAUACCAUGAUCUAGCAGGUGGUUUUCCCAGGGCAAGGCUCACCCCUUGCACUCUGGGCCUGCUGACCCUGCAAGGGAGAGUGAUGGAGAAAGUGGAGGAGUUAGAGCAGCAGUCAUUUAGGAAGGCAGCAACAGUAGAGAGAUC
This is a small nuclear RNA of Alligator sinensis (Chinese alligator), 164 nucleotides long. RefSeq annotates it as U1 spliceosomal RNA. The transcript has a single exon. The record is from RefSeq and is a predicted model, not a curated record. NCBI's taxonomy places the organism in Eukaryota, Metazoa, Chordata, Crocodylia, Alligatoridae.